AUGAAGUCACAGACCCAGGUCCUCAUAUCCCUGCUGCUUUUGGUGUCUGGUGCCUGUGCAGACAUCGUGAUGACUCAGUCUCCAUCCUCCCUGGCUGUAUCAACAGGAGAGAAGGUCACCAUAAGCUGCAUGUCCAGUCAAAGUCUUUAUUACAGUGGCAACCAAAAGAACUACUUGUCCUGGCACCAGCAGAAACCAGGGCAAUCCCCUAAGCUGCUGAUCUACCGGCCAUCGACUCAGCACACUGGGGUCCCUGAUCGCUUCACAGGCAGUGGAUCUGGGACAGAUUUCACUUUCUCGAUCAGCAGUGUGCAAGAUGAUGAUCUGGCAGUUUAUUACUGUCAGCAGGGUAUUAGUGAUACUCCCACAGUGAUUCAGCUUUCAACACAAACCUUCAGAGUCUCACCAGCUGCCUGCACCACACACAGCCCUAUGCUGCACACUUCCACUUUUUGCCUGAUAGAAGGUGUGCCUGAAAAAGUGAUGAAAAAUUUUAAAUCCCAGUACCCCAGUACAAAAUUGUCAGUUCUCUUAUCCCUUUUGGUAUGA
Psammomys obesus (fat sand rat) is the source of this 549-nucleotide non-coding RNA. Lineage: Eukaryota; Metazoa; Chordata; Mammalia; Rodentia; Muridae. The record is from the annotation of a RefSeq genome assembly.